Molecule: non-coding RNA, 84 nt
Organism: Caerostris darwini
Lineage: Eukaryota; Metazoa; Arthropoda; Arachnida; Araneae; Araneidae
Source: the annotation of a GenBank genome assembly
GCGAUAGUGGCACAACGGAUAAUGCGCCUGACUAGGGAUCAGGAGAUUCCCUGUUCGAAUUCUGGCUAGCUCGACAUAUUCGCA